Phocoena sinus (vaquita) is the source of this 2563-nucleotide long non-coding RNA. NCBI's taxonomy places the organism in Eukaryota, Metazoa, Chordata, Mammalia, Artiodactyla, Phocoenidae. The record is from Ensembl.
GAAUGUUAGGAUGAAAAUUUUAAUGGAAUUCUGAUGCUUCCUUUAAUCAUUUUUAAUUAAAGUACAAAAGUAUGAAGAAUUGAUCUUAUAGAAGAUUAUGAGCAAUGCCCAAAGCUGAUAUUUUAGCAAUUCUAGCAAUCCAUUCUAAACUACUUAACUAAUAAAAUUUCCACAUCUAAGACCAUGUGAUCCGAUUCUAGUUAAAAUAAUGGAUUCAACUUCUGCCUCAUAUGGGAGGUUGGAAAUGUAGCUGAUUUUCUUUCGAAAAUGUAGCUGGCGCCAUUUGGUACUGCCUAAAGAAGAGAGAUGCUGUCAGCACUUGAUGAGAGAGUAUUACCCACGGUGCUUGUUACUGUUUAUGAGCUUCCACUGAAGUGAUUCCUUUUCAUUCAUAGCAGCAGAAUCAUUUCCAAAGACCCCCAGUAUUUGCUGCUAUGAUUUUGUAUCUCCCCUGAUGAACCUGAACAAGAGGAUUUCCUUACACCAUUCCCUAGUGUCUGGAUGUCACAGGGUUAACAAAUGUGCUUUUUUACAGGAAGUAAUUUUAAAAUUUGAACUGAAAUCUACCUGGGAUCAUAGUGUUUAUGUGAUUUUAUUUAUGAAUACUGGUUGUCCAGUGCCAGAAAAACCAUGACGUGCAAAAUGCUUUGCACUCAGUGUUUUUACUAUGUUUCUAAUUGUUAAUAGUUUCUGCUUUCUUCUUUUGACUACUUGACUUACAAAAUGAUCUGAUUGACUACUUCAUUGAAAAGCAAAGGUAACUCAUGUUUAAUAGCUUGUUUAUGUGGUUAUGAUAUUUUUCCACUAUUUUUGAAAAAUAAUCAUGGAUAGCAUUCUUUGAAAGACAGUGAAAAAUGUAAUUUACUACAUAUAUUGCUUUUUAAAUGUUGCCUUAAACAGGUAUAGAUGAGCAGUAGUAAUUGCUAUGUACUGAUUUACCUCAAGGUGAAAAAGAAUUAAACCUGUGCAUAUUCCAUUUAUAAAAUAAAUUCAUAUAAACAGCCCUGCACUUUUUCAGAUGCCUUGGUUUCCAGGAUGGAGCUCAGUGCUACUGAGUACCCUGGCCGCAGGGCCACCUCAGGAUAUUCUUUCCUCCACCUAUUUUAUUUAUUUAUAGACAUCUGUUUACAAGGACUGUAAUACAUCCUCAUGUUGACCAUCUGAAAUUCACUUUCACUUGAAUGCUAUUUCACUCUAAAAUUGCCGCUUUUGAGAAGACAAUGAACUAAAAACUUCCUUAUGAUAAAAGGAUGAUGCUAUAUAUUCUCUAAUGAUAUUAGAUAUAUGAAGUGAGGCACACGAUCAUUCUAAUGGGUGUUGUAUAUGUGAGUAUGCUUGUGUGAAUGAUGUUGUCAAUCAUAAAUCUCUCAAGUUGUUUAAAAAAGCUGUGGCAUAUCAUUGUUCAUAUUUGCCAAGCAUAUAAAAUGUGUAGGACAGAAUUUUUUAUGUGCUAACGCAUGUAUUUAUAAAGCAGAUUUCUUUACCACUCAAAAUUACUUUCGUUUUCUCCAUCUAAAAAAAAAAUUUCUUCCAUAUACCUAAAGUUUAUGUAUAUAUAUAAUAGCUUUAUAACUUUUACCUUUUGCAAAAGCAGGUUCAAAAUUCUGUAAAAAGGAAAAUGGUUUCCUAAACAGAGGUAUGACACCAGAGCUUGCUGUUUUUAAAGGAUUGUAUCAUGUAUAUAAGUUCUGUAAAUGUGCUCAACAGUGUAACAUGUGAAUCCUGUUUUAAAGUGCUCAGAUUUUGGAUGUGUAAGCCAUUAAUAUAACAUUGUAAUUCAAAAAUGUUUAAAUUAAAUAAUUUAAUGUUUUAAAUUUAUUUAUGUAGAUCACAUCAUUGUUAUCAUAUGCAGUAGAACUAUGUGAACUGUCUUUUGGUUUAGUCCAACAGUUAUUUUUUUAGAAAGUAAACUUAAAGAGUUUAAGGACAUCCAAAAUUUAAAAUAGUGUUCAUACUUCAAAAUUUGGCAAUUUUAAUGUAAAGUUGGUUCUUUUCUAACUUUUCAAAAAGUAAUUUGAGUUUCGAUAAUAGGAAAACAUAGUUGGAAAUGGAAUUGUCUAAAGAACAUUUUUAAAAAUUUAAUUAGCAUAUAUUGACGUCUACAUUUGUCUUAGAGUACUUGUUAACAGUUGUUUUUUUAAUCAGAAUUUUGUGCGUUGAUGAUUCUUGUGUUGUGGCUUUUCUUUUGUUACUUUCAUAUUAAGAGCUUUUUUUUUUUUGUAGGGAGGUUCUCUUCCAAUGUUUACUACAUUUAAAUAAAUAGAAAUUGAAUUUUAUUGUUCAUUUAUACAGUAUUUGAUAGCUUGGUAUAAUAACAGUACAGUUCUAAUUUUUAUGACUUUUAUAAUUAUACAAUGAUAAUAUUUUCUUUUAUAAUAAAAUCCAAAGUAAACAUUUAAAAUGUAGAAGUGAUAUUUUUCAUCUAUAUGAAGUACAAGUAUCUACCAAGUCUAUAAUGUGAAUAAUCCUGCCUUUCAAAUCUGUUUCAUAAUAUUAGAAGAAAACUAUUUUUGGAGAUGUUAUUGAAGUUGAAAGAUCAAUAAAAGUCUACUGAAUCAGUUGU